Etheostoma spectabile (orangethroat darter) is the source of this 123-nucleotide long non-coding RNA. RefSeq lists it as uncharacterized. NCBI's taxonomy places the organism in Eukaryota, Metazoa, Chordata, Actinopteri, Perciformes, Percidae. The record is from RefSeq and is a predicted model, not a curated record. The transcript has 3 exons.
AAAACUUAGCACCAAAAUGAUUUAUUAUUUUAUACAGGAAUUAAACUGUCUGUCAUGUAAACCUGAAAAUAUAAAUAAAACAAUGAUUAAAAUCAUGAACUCAAGUAGUGACGGUAGCUGCAG